This 334-nucleotide unclassified non-coding RNA is filed under the name soil metagenome. RNAcentral describes it as "partial contains 5.8S ribosomal RNA, internal transcribed spacer 2, and large subunit ribosomal RNA". The stretch from base 1 to 120 matches the Rfam family "5.8S ribosomal RNA", at positions 35 to 154 of the family's 154-position model. The record is from RNAcentral.
GAUGAAGAACGCAGCGAAAUGCGAUACGUAAUGUGAAUUGCAGAAUUCAGUGAAUCAUCGAAUCUUUGAACGCACAUUGCGCCCGCCAGCACUCUGGCGGGCAUGCCUGUUCGAGCGUCAUUUCAACCAUCAAGCCCCAGGCUUGCGUUGGAGCCCUGCGGCUGCCGCAGCUUCCUAAAAGCAGUGGCGGGCUCGCUAUCACACCGAGUGCAGUAGAUUACUCUUCGCUCAGGGCGUGCAGCGGGUUCCGGCCGUGAAACCCCCUACUUUUAAAGGUUGACCUCGGAUCAGGUAGGAAUACCCGCUGAACUUAAGCAUAUCAAUAAGCGGAGGA